GGGCGAUUAGCUCAGGGGUAGAGCGCCUCCCUUACAAGGAGGAGGUCGGUGGUUCGAACCCACCAUCGCCCAC
Molecule: transfer RNA, 73 nt
Filed under: Rubrobacter xylanophilus
Lineage: Bacteria; Bacillati; Actinomycetota; Rubrobacteria; Rubrobacterales; Rubrobacteraceae
Description: tRNA-Val
Rfam family: tRNA
About the family: Transfer RNA (tRNA) molecules are approximately 80 nucleotides in length. Their secondary structure includes four short double-helical elements and three loops (D, anti-codon, and T loops). Further hydrogen bonds mediate the characteristic L-shaped molecular structure. tRNAs have two regions of fundamental functional importance: the anti-codon, which is responsible for specific mRNA codon recognition, and the 3' end, to which the tRNAs corresponding amino acid is attached (by aminoacyl-tRNA synthetases). tRNAs cope with the degeneracy of the genetic code in two manners: having more than one tRNA (with a specific anti-codon) for a particular amino acid; and 'wobble' base-pairing, i.e. permitting non-standard base-pairing at the 3rd anti-codon position.
Source: RNAcentral